GUUCAAUUCGCUUAUCAGAGGCCU
RNAcentral lists this non-coding RNA (24 nucleotides) under Arabidopsis thaliana (thale cress). The record is from RNAcentral. Lineage: Eukaryota; Viridiplantae; Streptophyta; Magnoliopsida; Brassicales; Brassicaceae.